GUACCCACACCCAUACACAUAACUAAAAUUAGUAAAUAAAUCUUAAAAACUAAAAGAAGUGGUUCUCAGAGACCCAGGCAGUGUCCCUGAGGUCUGCAUAAUAAAAUGACAUCUACUUGAUUACUGCACUGUCUCCAUGAGUCUAAAAUGCCUUAGAAUUAACCACCUGUCUCUGAGACCUUAAACACCGUGCUCCCAAGUUAUUACCGUGAAACUUAGGUCAGACAUUUAUGAUUUCUCCUUAGUGCUGGGGAGACGACCUACAGUCUGGAGCACGCCAACGACCUUCGAGUGGAAGUGCAGAAAGUGUACGAGCUAAUAGAUGCUUUAAGUAAGAAGAUCUUAACCUUGGGCUUGAACCAAGACCCUUCACCACAUCCAAACACUCUUCGGCUACAGAGAAUGAUCA
Molecule: long non-coding RNA, 409 nt
Filed under: Rattus norvegicus (Norway rat)
Lineage: Eukaryota; Metazoa; Chordata; Mammalia; Rodentia; Muridae
Description: long non-coding RNA NONRATT020733
Source: RNAcentral